CCCUUAGAUGUUCUGGGCCGCACGCGCGCUACACUGAUUCAUGCAACAAGUUUUGUCCUUGGCUGAUAGGCCUGGGUAAUCUUUGAACGUGAAUCGUGAUGGGGAUAGAUGAUUGCAAUUAUUCAUCUUCAACGAGGAAUUCCUAGUAAACGCAAGUCAUCAGCUUGCAUUGAUUACGUCCCUGCCCUUUGUACACACCGCCCGUCGCACCUACCGAUUGAAUGGUCCGGUGAAAUCUUCGGAUCUGAGAGAUGUCUGAUUAAUUUCGGACGCCUUUUGGAAAAGUUGUUUAAACCUUACCGUUUAGAGGAAGGUGAAGUCGUAACA
This 327-nucleotide ribosomal RNA is filed under the name uncultured eukaryote. RNAcentral's name for it is "partial 18S ribosomal RNA". It matches the Rfam family "Eukaryotic small subunit ribosomal RNA", at positions 1470 to 1796 of the family's 1831-position model. The record is from RNAcentral.